AAUCACAUUUGUCUCUUAAAGCAACAACACGGCAAGGUGAAAAGGGAAAUAUAAAAAAAAAACGACAAGAAAAACACGUUAGUUCCCUCUCCCCUCCCUUCUUUGGGUUUGCUCCCUCACGUUAUUCAUUGUAUUCCACCGAUAUUUCCUUUCAAACGAAGCAGUAAAACGCAACCGCUGUAUACAAAAAUAAAGAAGAGGGGGUGCAAGCCUGGCGUUUUUCAUCCAGUCUCACGGGCACCCACCCAACCAAUAUCCGCAGCAACCACCACCCGCUCCCGUUCAUCAUGGAGCACGUGCAGCAGUACAAGUUCUACAAGGAGAAGAAGAUGAGCAUUGUGCUCGCCCCCUUCUCCGGCGGCCAACCGCACAGUGGGGUAGAGCUAGGUCCUGACUACCUUCUCAAGCAGGGACUGCAGCAGGACAUGGAGAAGCUUGGAUGGAAUACAAGGCUCGAGAGGGUGUUCGACGGCAAGGCUGUUGAGGCUCGCAAGGCGAGCGAUAAUGGCGACAGGAUCGGUCGCGUCAAGCGCCCGAGGCUGACGGCGGAGUGCACGGAGAAGAUCUACAAGUGUGUGCGCAGGGUGGCCGAGCAGGGCCGCUUUCCUCUCACUAUCGGCGGCGAUCACUCCAUCGCCCUCGGCACGGUGGCCGGCGUGUUGACCGUUUACCCGGAUGCCGGCGUGAUUUGGGUGGACGCCCACGCGGACAUCAACACUAUGUCUGGUACGGUCUCCGGUAACUUGCACGGCUGCCCCUUAUCGAUCCUGCUGGGGCUUGAUCGCAAGAACAUUCCCGAGUGCUUUUCGUGGGUACCGCAGGUGCUGAAGCCGAGCAAGAUUGCCUACAUUGGUCUACGUGCUGUGGACGAGGAGGAGAAGAAGAUCCUGCACGACCUGAACAUCGCCGCCUUCAGCAUGCAUCACGUGGACCGCUACGGUAUAGACAAGGUGGUGUCCAUGGCGAUCGAAGCCAUCUCGCCGAAGGGCACCGAGCCGGUGAUGGUGUCAUACGACAUCGACACGAUCGACCCCCUCUACGUGCCGGCGACGGGCACUCCCGUGCGUGGCGGCCUCUCUUUCCGAGAGGCGUUGUUCUUGUGCGAGCGUAUCGCCGAGUGCGGUCGUCUUGUCGCUCUGGACGUGGUUGAAUGCAACCCGCUCCUCGCCGCUACAGAAUCGCACGUGAAGGACACCAUCUCCGUCGGCUGCGCAAUCGCACGCUGCAUGAUGGGAGAGACACUUCUUUACACCCCACGUAAGAGCGCCAAACUGUAGAUGUGUGUGUGCGCGCUGCCUUCAAGCGUGUCUGCCGGCCUGUGUGUGUGUGUGUGUGUGACGAAAAGCGCUCAUUUUAGCUGUGCGUUCCUUUUCGUUUUUGUGCUUUUCAACGAUUCUUUUUCGUUAACCUUUUUUUGGGUCUUUUUUCUUGUUCUUCCUUCUACGUGUUUUCAAAUCCCUCGUCCCCGCAAGCACACACACACACGGAUGCACAGAAAAAAGGGAGAAAACACACACGCACAUGCGCAUGUGUUCCUUCCAAGGCGUUGAACGAUCGCUCGCGCGCACAUCUUCGCGCACCCAUAUCUAUAUAUAUAUAUAUAUAUAUAUAUAUAUAUAUAUAUCCCUCUUUUACCUCAAUCUUUCUAUGUCAGUUCAUCUCUGGAUUUGGUCGAGGAGUCGUGUCCACGGGGGUGUAAACGCGCUCUGUGGGAAUACGGAGUCAGGGGCGCAUGCACACACACAACGUAUCAGGGGAAGGGGGAGAGGCAUGUCAUGCGCAGUGGCUGAUGUGAUCAGCAUCGCCAAAGGCCUGCAUCUCCUUCCCCGUUCCUUGUGUGUUUGUGUGUGUGUCGCAUGCUGGCGGAAGUGAGUCAGCGCCUGGAAAACAACCCAAAAACGAGGUCAGCGGGUCAAAAAAAAAAAGAUGAGGGAUGGACAGGAGAGAACGGAGGGUGUGAGAUCGCUGCCACGACCACUGUUGUUUUGUUGCUCUCGUUCACUCUCGCGCUCCGUAGAUCAGCCGCCCGCUCCUCUCUCCUCUCUAUAGUUGUUGGUGUUAUGGCUACUUUGAGGGGUUAUCAACCGUUGAUUCUCUUCUUGUUUUUUUAUGUUUUCGCUUUAUUUUGGUUGUCUUCUGUUUCCCCCUUCUUUUUUACUGAUGUUUUGGUUUUGCCUUACGAAGCCGCCCUCCCCUUCGCUGCCUCUUCCCAUGCUAAACAUGUCUUCGUCGCGCAAGACAAACGCUCAUACAAAACCGGUGAGAGCUUCGUGUGGAGAGCACACAAAGAGAAGGGGGGACGCUUGAAGCGGCACACAUGAGCAGGCGGUGCGCGCCUGUGUGCACCGUCUGUAUCUGCAUCAUAUGCAUUGGCAGCAGUGGGGGAGGUGUCCGACGAGAAGGAAGAGGCGGAUAGCAGGUAUGACGAAAAACGGGAAUUUUGUCGGUCUCUGUGUUGCUCUCUCCUCUCCUCUGACAUCUCCCCACCCCACCCCACUUCAUCUCACUCUCCCUCCCGCCGCCCUUUUUCGUUUACCCCCUCCUCAUGCACGGCUUGAAAAAAAAAAUAUAUAUAUAUAAUAAAAG
RNAcentral lists this unclassified non-coding RNA (2586 nucleotides) under Leishmania donovani. RNAcentral describes it as "gene:LdHU3.35.1960(CDS-product:arginase)". Lineage: Eukaryota; Euglenozoa; Kinetoplastea; Trypanosomatida; Trypanosomatidae. The record is from RNAcentral.